GAUGAACGCUGGCGGCGUGCCUAAUACAUGCAAGUCGAGCGAACGGACGAGAAGCUUGCUUCUCUGAUGUUAGCGGCGGACGGGUGAGUAACACGUGGAUAACCUACCUAUAAGACUGGGAUAACUUCGGGAAACCGGAGCUAAUACCGGAUAAUAUUUUGAACCGCAUGGUUCAACAGUGAAAGACGGUCUUGCUGUCACUUAUAGAUGGAUCCGCGCUGCAUUAGCUAGUUGGUAAGGUAACGGCUUACCAAGGCAACGAUGCGUAGCCGACCUGAGAGGGUGAUCAGCCACACUGGAACUGAGACACGGUCCAGACUCCUACGGGAGGCAGCAGUAGGGAAUCUUCCGCAAUGGGCGAAAGCCUGACGGAGCAACGCCGCGUGAGUGAUGAAGGUCUUCGGAUCGUAAAACUCUGUUAUUAGGGAAGAACAUAUGUGUAAGUAACUGUGCACAUCUUGACGGUACCUAAACAGAAAGCAACGGCUAACUACGUG
Molecule: ribosomal RNA, 497 nt
Filed under: uncultured bacterium
Lineage: Bacteria
Description: partial 16S ribosomal RNA
Rfam family: Bacterial small subunit ribosomal RNA
Source: RNAcentral